UACGUAGGGGGCGAGCGUUGUCCGGAGUUACUGGGCGUAAAGCGCACGCAGGCGGUCUGCUAAGUUUGGAGUGACAAGUUGGUGGCUUAACUGCCGAAGUGCUUCGAAAACUGACAGACUUGAGGGCUUCAGAAGGGACACGGGAAUUCCGGGUGGAGUGGUGAAAUGCGUAGAGAUCCGGAGGAACACCAAAGGCGAAGGCAGUGUCCUGGGGAGUACCUGACGCUCAGGUGCGAAAGCCAGAGGGAGCGAAACGGG
RNAcentral lists this ribosomal RNA (258 nucleotides) under uncultured bacterium. RNAcentral's name for it is "partial 16S ribosomal RNA". It matches the Rfam family "Bacterial small subunit ribosomal RNA", at positions 524 to 777 of the family's 1533-position model. The record is from RNAcentral.